ACGGGAGGCAGCAGUGGGGAAUAUUGCACAAUGGGCGCAAGCCUGAUGCAGCAACGCCGCGUGAGUGAUGAAGGUCUUCGGAUUGUAAAACUCUGUCCUUAGGGACGAAACAAAUGACGGUACUUGAGGAGGAAGCCCCGGCUAACUACGUGCCAGCAGCCGCGGUAAUACGUAGGGGGCGAGCGUUAUCCGGAAUUAUUGGGCGUAAAGAGUACGUAGGUGGUUUUGUAAGCGUAAGGUGAAAGCCCGGGGCUUAACUCCGGCGAGCCUUACGAACUGCAUGACUUGAGUGCAGGAGGGGAAAGUGGAAUUCCUAGUGUAGCGGUGAAAUGCGUAGAUAUUAGGAGGAACACCAGUGGCGAAGGCGGCUUACUGGACUGUAACUGACGUUGAGGCUCGAAAGCGUGGGGAGCAAACAGGAUUAGAUACCCUGGUA
This 436-nucleotide ribosomal RNA is filed under the name uncultured Anaerovorax sp. Its description in RNAcentral is "partial 16S ribosomal RNA". It matches the Rfam family "Bacterial small subunit ribosomal RNA", at positions 341 to 792 of the family's 1533-position model. Lineage: Bacteria; Bacillati; Bacillota; Clostridia; Peptostreptococcales; Anaerovoracaceae. The record is from RNAcentral.